Molecule: non-coding RNA, 429 nt
Filed under: Candidatus Paraburkholderia kirkii UZHbot1
Lineage: Bacteria; Pseudomonadati; Pseudomonadota; Betaproteobacteria; Burkholderiales; Burkholderiaceae
Description: Candidatus Burkholderia kirkii UZHbot1 Bacterial large subunit ribosomal RNA
Rfam family: Bacterial large subunit ribosomal RNA
Source: Rfam by way of RNAcentral
UCGCUCAACGGAUAAAAGGUACUCUGGGGAUAACAGGCUGAUACCGCCCAAGAGUUCAUAUCGACGGCGGUGUUUGGCACCUCGAUGUCGGCUCAUCUCAUCCUGGGGCUGUAGCCGGUCCCAAGGGUAUGGCUGUUCGCCAUUUAAAGAGGUACGUGAGCUUUGAAGGGGGCUGCUCCUAGUACGAGAGGACCGGAGUGGACGAACCUCUGGUGUACCGGUUGUGACGCCAGUCGCAUCGCCGGGUAGCUAUGUUCGGAAGAGAUAACCGCUGAAAGCAUCUAAGCGGGAAACUCGCCUUAAGAUGAGAUAUCCCGGGGCUUCGAGCCCUUGAAGGGUCGUUCCAGACCAGGACGUUGAUAGGUCAGGUGUGUAAGUGCAGUAAUGCAUUGAGCUAACUGAUACUAAUUGCCCGUAAGGCUUGAUCCU